UUGGGAUAUGUUGGUGCAGAAUUUUGCUGAUGUCGGAGAAGCUGGUGUCGAGGGGAUCGCAUCCGCCGUCGAGACCUAUAAGGAAAGUCUAAACCGGAGUUGGGGGUGCUCCGGCAAGACCCUCCGAUGCUCAAGUCAAUACUCUACCUCAACAGAAAUGGAGCACUCGAAUGGGAUUUUAGCAGAGUUUCGAGAUAGAGUUUAGAGCUUAGAGAAGAACG
RNAcentral lists this long non-coding RNA (221 nucleotides) under Elaeis guineensis (African oil palm). RNAcentral's name for it is "long non-coding RNA (EGUI_LNC064966)". The record is from RNAcentral. Lineage: Eukaryota; Viridiplantae; Streptophyta; Magnoliopsida; Arecales; Arecaceae.